Molecule: long non-coding RNA, 252 nt
Filed under: Lathyrus oleraceus (garden pea)
Lineage: Eukaryota; Viridiplantae; Streptophyta; Magnoliopsida; Fabales; Fabaceae
Description: Pisum sativum (pea) long non-coding RNA (PSAT_LNC031111)
Source: RNAcentral
CGAAAGUGCCUUUUGAUGGGAUUUUAAGUCCCAGUCGGUGGGGCCCAAGGCCACUUGCAACAGUGAACCAUAACACCAUGACCAAUUAAAAUACUCUUUGCAAACCAACAAGCAGCAAAAUAUCACAGCAACAGCAGACAAAAAAAAAAAAACUAAUUAAAAUGUUCCUUUUUAAAACAAACAACAUGCACGGUAAUAUGUACUCAAAACCCUACCAAAAUAAAUGGCAAUGCUUCAGUAUGAAAGCAAAUC